RNAcentral lists this ribosomal RNA (459 nucleotides) under uncultured bacterium. Its description in RNAcentral is "partial 16S ribosomal RNA". It matches the Rfam family "Bacterial small subunit ribosomal RNA", at positions 338 to 795 of the family's 1533-position model. The record is from RNAcentral.
CCUACGGGGGUCUGCAGUGAGGAAUAUUGGUCAAUGGGCGCGAGCCUGAACCAGCCAAGUCGCGUGCGGGAAGACGGUCCUAUGGAUUGUACACCUCUUUUGUCGGGGAGCAACAGACGCCACGCGUGGCGUUCCGAGAGUACCCGAAGAAAAAGCAUCGGCUAACUCCGUGCCAGCAGCCGCGGUAAUACGGAGGAUUCGAGCGUUAUCCGGAUUUAUUGGGUUUAAAGGGUGCUCAGGCGGAAGAUCAAGUCAGCGGGAAAAUUGAGAGGCUCAACCUCUUCGUGCCGUUGAAACUGGUGUUCUUGAGUGAGUGAGAAGUAUGCGGAAUGCGUGGUGUAGCGGUGAAAUGCAUAGAUAUCACGCAGAACUCCGAUUGCGAAGGCAGCAUACCGGCGCUCAACUGACGCUCAUGCACGAAAGUGUGGGUAUCGAACAGGAUUAGAUACCCUGGUAGUC